Molecule: non-coding RNA, 195 nt
Organism: Gossypium hirsutum (cotton)
Lineage: Eukaryota; Viridiplantae; Streptophyta; Magnoliopsida; Malvales; Malvaceae
Source: Rfam
AUACCUUUCUCGGCCUUUUGGCUAAGAUCAAGUGUAGUAUCUGUUCUUAUCAGUUUAAUAUCUGAUACGUGGGCCAUUGGUCUACAUAAUAUUAAUUUAUCUUUCGAGGGGUAAAGCUCACCACGGUAGCUUGCUACUGGGGCUUUCACGCGUUACCCAAGUGUUGCACUGUAGCUUUGGGCUGGCGCACCCCAA